AUUGAACGCUGGCGCCAUGACUAACACAUGCAAGUCGAACGGUAACAGGAAGCAGCUUGCUGCUUCGCUGACGAGUGGCGGACGGGUGAGUAAUGUCUGGGAAACUGCCUGAUGGAGGGGGAUAACUACUGGAAACGGUAGCUAAUACCGCAUAAUGUCGCAAGACCAAAGAGGGGGACCUUCGGGCCUCUUGCCAUCGGAUGUGCCCAGAUGGGAUUAGCUAGUAGGUGGGGUAACGGCUCACCUAGGCGACGAUCCCUAGCUGGUCUGAGAGGAUGACCAGCCACACUGGAACUGAGACACGGUCCAGACUCCUACGGGAGGCAGCAGUGGGGAAUAUUGCACAAUGGGCGCAAGCCUGAUGCAGCCAUGCCGCGUGUAUGAAGAAGGCCUUCGGGUUGUAAAGUACUUUCAGCGGGGAGGAAGGGAGUAAAGUUAAUACCUUUGCUCAUUGACGUUACCCGCAGAAGAAGCACCGGCUAACUCCGUGCCAGCAGCCGCGGUAAUACGGAGGGUGCAAGCGUUAAUCGGAAUUACUGGGCGUAAAGCGCACGCAGGCGGUUUGUUAAGUCAGAUGUGAAAUCCCUGGGCUCAACCUGGGAUCUGCAUCUGAUACUGGCAAGCUUGAGUCUCGUAGAGGGGGGUAGAAUUCCAGGUGUAGCGGUGAAAUGCGUAGAGAUCUGGAGGAAUACCGGUGGCGAAGGCGGCCUACUGGGCACCAACUGACGCUGAGGCUCGAAAGUGUGGGUAGCAAACAGG
RNAcentral lists this ribosomal RNA (759 nucleotides) under uncultured bacterium. RNAcentral describes it as "bacterial SSU rRNA". It matches the Rfam family "Bacterial small subunit ribosomal RNA", at positions 28 to 776 of the family's 1533-position model. The record is from RNAcentral.